RNAcentral lists this ribosomal RNA (1338 nucleotides) under bacterium E2-110. Its description in RNAcentral is "bacterial SSU rRNA". It matches the Rfam family "Bacterial small subunit ribosomal RNA", at positions 85 to 1406 of the family's 1533-position model. The record is from RNAcentral.
UUCGACGAGCUGGACGGACUGGAGUGAUGAAUGUCUAGGCAGCCUGCCUGAGGGAGGGGGAUAACUACUGGAAACGGUAACUAAUACCACAUCCUAUCGCAGAACCCAGGAGGGGGACCUUCCUUGCUCUUGCCAUCGAAUGUGCCCAGAUGGGAUUAGCUGGUGGUGGGGUAACGGCUCACCUAACCAACCAUCCCUGGCUGGUCUGAAAGGAUGACCACCCUGACUGGAACUGACACACGGUCCUCACUCCUACAGGAGGCAUGGGUGGGGAAUAUUGCACAAUGGGCGCAAGCCUGAUGCAUGCAUGCCGUGUGAUGAAGUCUUCUUCUGGUUGUAACUUACUUUUGCGGGAAGGAAGGCAAUAAGGUUCCUAACCUUGUUUGAUUGACGUUACCCGCUAAACAAGCACCGGCUAACUCCGUGCCAGCAGCCGCGGUAAUAAGGAGGGUGCAAGCGUUAAUAAUUAAUUACUGGGCGUAAAGCGCACGCUGGUUUGCUGUCAAGUAUGAUGUGAAAUCCCCGGGCUUCACGCUUGGGAACUGCUUUAGAAACUGCCAGGCUGCUGGAGUCUGGUAGAGGGGGGUAGAAUUCCAGGUGUAGCGGUGAAAUGCGUAGAGAUGUGAGAGGACUACAGGUGGGGAAGGCGGCCUCCUGUGGACAAAGACUGCCGCUCAGGUGCGAAAGCGUGGGGAGCAACCAGGAUAUAGAUACGCUUGGUAGUCCACGCGGUAAGAGGAGGUAGACUUGGAGGUUGUUCCCUUGAGGAGUGGCUUCGGGAGCUAACGCGUUAAGUGGCGACCCCCUGGGGAGUACGGCCGCAAGGUUAAAAUUCAAAUGAAUUGACGGGGGCCCGCCCAAGCGGUGGAGCAUGUGGUUUAAUCCGAUGCAACGGGAAGACCCUUACAUACUCUUGACAUCCAGAGAAUUUAGCAGAGAUGAUUUGGUCCUUUCGGGAAUUUUGAGACAGGUGCGGCAGGGCGUUGUUCAGUUCGUUUUGUGAAAUGUUGGGUUAAUUCCCGCAACGAGCCCAACCUUUUUCUUUUGUUGCCACCGGUUCGGUCGGGCACUCAAAGGAGACUGCCAGUGAUAAACCGGAGGAAGGUGGGGAUGACGUCAAGUCAUCAUGGCCCUUACGAGUAGGGCUACACACGUGCUACAAUGGCAUAUACAAAGAGAAGCCACCUCGCGAGAGCAAGCGGACCUCAUAAAGUAUGUCGUAGUCCGGAUUGGAGUCUGCAACUCGACUCCAUGAAGUCGGAAUCGCUAGUAAUCGUGGAUCAGAAUGCCACGGUGAAUACGUUCCCGGGCCUUGUACACACCGCCCGUCACACCAUG